GGUUAUGGCCAUGCCACCCUGAACCAGCCCAAUGUCUGAUCUCGGAAGCUAAGUAGGGUCAGGCCUGGUUAGUACUUGGAUGGGAGACCACCUAGGAAGACCACGUGCUGUAGGCA
Molecule: ribosomal RNA, 116 nt
Filed under: Pteropus alecto (black flying fox)
Lineage: Eukaryota; Metazoa; Chordata; Mammalia; Chiroptera; Pteropodidae
Source: RNAcentral